CUCUGCUACUACUCUCUUCCCAUUGCGAGUUACUCUUCUCUCUCUACUCUCUUCCUCUCCUCUACGCGAGUUACUAAUCUUCUUCGCGAGGCGGGACCUCUCUCUCUCAGUAAGUGUUUUUGUCCGUUGGAUCAGACGAUAUGUCUGAUCCACACCGUUCAUCUGGAACGUGAUGAUAUGACUGUCGCCCCAGUCUUACUUGCAUCUCUUGAUGCGAGGUGGUGAUCGACACCAUUGAUGCAAUCUAGACCAUUCAUUUGGUGGGGCACACAAAAUUAGAACUUUGAUUUUGUUUUCAUUUGAACGUGUACCACUGAUCUUGAUCUGUAUGAUUUAAGAGAUGAGACCUACAAUUUAUAUGGUCUUUAUAAUUGUACAUCAGUGCUACACAUGAGAUGGAUGGUUGACCACCAUUAUCAACAUGGUGUAAAACUCACACAGGAGUCUUCCAUAGUGUGGUAUGUCUUGUAGUGGUAGGGGUAUGAGAAUUUCGCCUACAACCAGUUGUAGUUGUA
This is a long non-coding RNA of Magnolia sinica, 515 nucleotides long. RefSeq lists it as uncharacterized. The record is from RefSeq and is a predicted model, not a curated record. The transcript has 2 exons. NCBI's taxonomy places the organism in Eukaryota, Viridiplantae, Streptophyta, Magnoliopsida, Magnoliales, Magnoliaceae.